GUGCUCGCUUCAGCAGCACAUAUACUAAAGUUGGAAGGAUACAGGGAAGAUUAGCAUGGUCCCUGUGCAAGGAUGACACAAAAAUUCGUAAAGCGUUCUUUAUUUUU
Small nuclear RNA from Loxodonta africana (African savanna elephant), 107 nucleotides. The record is from Ensembl. Lineage: Eukaryota; Metazoa; Chordata; Mammalia; Proboscidea; Elephantidae.